RNAcentral lists this ribosomal RNA (1194 nucleotides) under Corynebacterium tuberculostearicum. RNAcentral's name for it is "bacterial SSU rRNA". It matches the Rfam family "Bacterial small subunit ribosomal RNA", at positions 256 to 1462 of the family's 1533-position model. Lineage: Bacteria; Bacillati; Actinomycetota; Actinomycetes; Mycobacteriales; Corynebacteriaceae. The record is from RNAcentral.
GGUAAUGGCCUACCAAGGCGGCGACGGGUAGCCGGCCUGAAAGGUGGACGGCCACAUUGGGACUGAGAUACGGCCCAGACUCCUACGGGAGGCAGCAGUGGGGAAUAUUGCACAAUGGGCGCAAGCCUGAUGCAGCGACGCCGCGUGGGGGAUGACGGCCUUCGGGUUGUAAACUCCUUUCGCUAGGGACGAAGCUUUUUGUGACGGUACCUAGAUAAGAAGCACCGGCUAACUACGUGCCAGCAGCCGCGGUAAUACGUAGGGUGCGAGCGUUGUCCGGAAUUACUGGGCGUAAAGGGCUCGUAGGUGGUUUGUCGCGUCGUCUGUGAAAUUCCGGGGCUUAACUCCGGGCGUGCAGGCGAUACGGGCAUAACUUGAGUACUGUAGGGGUAACUGGAAUUCCUGGUGUAGCGGUGAAAUGCGCAGAUAUCAGGAGGAACACCGAUGGCGAAGGCAGGUUACUGGGCAGUUACUGACGCUGAGGAGCGAAAGCAUGGGUAGCGAACAGGAUUAGAUACCCUGGUAGUCCAUGCCGUAAACGGUGGGCGCUAGGUGUGAGGGUCUUUUCACGACUUUCGUGCCGUAGCUAACGCAUUAAGCGCCCCGCCUGGGGAGUACGGCCGCAAGGCUAAAACUCAAAGGAAUUGACGGGGGCCCGCACAAGCGGCGGAGCAUGUGGAUUAAUUCGAUGCAACGCGAAGAACCUUACCUGGGCUUGACAUACACUGGAUCGCGGCAGAGAUGUUGUUUCCCUUUGUGGCUGGUGUACAGGUGGUGCAUGGUUGUCGUCAGCUCGUGUCGUGAGAUGUUGGGUUAAGUCCCGCAACGAGCGCAACCCUUGUCUUAUGUUGCCAGCAUUUGGUUGGGGACUCAUGAGAGACUGCCGGGGUCAACUCGGAGGAAGGUGGGGAUGACGUCAAAUCAUCAUGCCCCUUAUGUCCAGGGCUUCACACAUGCUACAAUGGUCGGUACAACGCGCAGCGACACUGUGAGGUGGAGCGAAUCGCUGAAAGCCGGCCUUAGUUCGGAUUGGGGUCUGCAACUCGACCCCAUGAAGUCGGAGUCGCUAGUAAUCGCAGAUCAGCAAUGCUGCGGUGAAUACGUUCCCGGGCCUUGUACACACCGCCCGUCACGUCAUGAAAGUUGGUAACACCCGAAGCCGGUGGCCCAAACUUGUUAGGGAGCCGUCGAAGG